AACGAACGCUGGCGGCAUGCCUAACACAUGCAAGUCGAACGAGGCCUUCGGGUCUUGUGUCUCAUUAGUGCGUAGCGCGUGGGAUCCGUCCCUUGGGUUCGGCAUGACCCGGCGAAGGGGGUGAUAAUACCGGACAAUGGCUACUGACGAAGAAUUUCUCGCUUUAGGAUGGGCCCGCGUGGGAUUGGCUAGUUGGUGUGGUAAAGGCCUACCAAGGCGACGAUCAAUAGCUGGUCUGAGAGGAUGAUCAGCCACACUGGGACUGAGACACGGCCCAGACUCCUACGGGAGGCAGCAGUGGGGAAUAUUGGACAAUGGGCGAAAGCCUGAUCCAGCGACGCCGCGUGAGUGAUGAAGGCCUUCGGAUUGUAAAGCUCUGUUGUCCGGGAUGAUAAUGACGGUACCGGGCGAAUAAGCUCCGGCUAACUACGUG
Molecule: ribosomal RNA, 433 nt
Filed under: uncultured bacterium
Lineage: Bacteria
Description: partial 16S ribosomal RNA
Rfam family: Bacterial small subunit ribosomal RNA
Source: RNAcentral